GGGUUGUGAGGUUAAGCGACUAAGCGUACACGGUGGAUGCCCUGGCAGUCAGAGGCGAUGAAGGACGUGCUAAUCUGCGAUAAGCGUCGGUAAGGUGAUAUGAACCGUUAUAACCGGCGAUUUCCGAAUGGGGAAACCCAGUGUGAUUCGUCACACUAUCAUUAACUGAAUCCAUAGGUUAAUGAGGCGAACCGGGGGAACUGAAACAUCUAAGUACCCCGAGGAAAAGAAAUCAACCGAGAUUCCCCCAGUAGCGGCGAGCGAACGGGGAGCAGCCCAGAGCCUGAAUCAGUGUGUGUGUUAGUGGAAGCGUCUGGAAAGGCGCGCGAUACAGGGUGACAGCCCCGUACACAAAAAUGCACAUGCUGUGAGCUCGAUGAGUAGGGCGGGACACGUGGUAUCCUGUCUGAAUAUGGGGGGACCAUCCUCCAAGGCUAAAUACUCCUGACUGACCGAUAGUGAACCAGUACCGUGAGGGAAAGGCGAAAAGAACCCCGGCGAGGGGAGUGAAAAAGAACCUGAAACCGUGUACGUACAAGCAGUGGGAGCACAGAGCAAUCUGUGUGACUGCGUACCUUUUGUAUAAUGGGUCAGCGACUUAUAUUCUGUAGCAAGGUUAACCGAAUAGGGGAGCCGAAGGGAAACCGAGUCUUAACUGGGCGUUAAGUUGCAGGGUAUAGACCCGAAACCCGGUGAUCUAGCCAUGGGCAGGUUGAAGGUUGGGUAACACUAACUGGAGGACCGAACCGACUAAUGUUGAAAAAUUAGCGGAUGACUUGUGGCUGGGGGUGAAAGGCCAAUCAAACCGGGAGAUAGCUGGUUCUCCCCGAAAGCUAUUUAGGUAGCGCCUCGUGAAUUCAUCUCCGGGGGUAGAGCACUGUUUCGGCAAGGGGGUCAUCCCGACUUACCAACCCGAUGCAAACUGCGAAUACCGGAGAAUGUUAUCACGGGAGACACACGGCGGGUGCUAACGUCCGUCGUGAAGAGGGAAACAACCCAGACCGCCAGCUAAGGUCCCAAAGUCAUGGUUAAGUGGGAAACGAUGUGGGAAGGCCCAGACAGCCAGGAUGUUGGCUUAGAAGCAGCCAUCAUUUAAAGAAAGCGUAAUAGCUCACUGGUCGAGUCGGCCUGCGCGGAAGAUGUAACGGGGCUAAACCAUGCACCGAAGCUGCGGCAGCGACGCUGAUGCGUUGUUGGGUAGGGGAGCGUUCUGUAAGCCUGUGAAGGUGUGCUGUGAGGCAUGCUGGAGGUAUCAGAAGUGCGAAUGCUGACAUAAGUAACGAUAAAGCGGGUGAAAAGCCCGCUCGCCGGAAGACCAAGGGUUCCUGUCCAACGUUAAUCGGGGCAGGGUGAGUCGACCCCUAAGGCGAGGCCGAAAGGCGUAGUCGAUGGGAAACAGGUUAAUAUUCCUGUACUUGGUGUUACUGCGAAGGGGGGACGGAGAAGGCUAUGUUGGCCGGGCGACGGUUGUCCCGGUUUAAGCGUGUAGGCUGGUUUUCCAGGCAAAUCCGGAAAAUCAAGGCUGAGGCGUGAUGACGAGGCACUACGGUGCUGAAGCAACAAAUGCCCUGCUUCCAGGAAAAGCCUCUAAGCAUCAGGUAACAUCAAAUCGUACCCCAAACCGACACAGGUGGUCAGGUAGAGAAUACCAAGGCGCUUGAGAGAACUCGGGUGAAGGAACUAGGCAAAAUGGUGCCGUAACUUCGGGAGAAGGCACGCUGAUAUGUAGGUGAAGUCCCUCGCGGAUGGAGCUGAAAUCAGUCGAAGAUACCAGCUGGCUGCAACUGUUUAUUAAAAACACAGCACUGUGCAAACACGAAAGUGGACGUAUACGGUGUGACGCCUGCCCGGUGCCGGAAGGUUAAUUGAUGGGGUCAGCGCAAGCGAAGCUCUUGAUCGAAGCCCCGGUAAACGGCGGCCGUAACUAUAACGGUCCUAAGGUAGCGAAAUUCCUUGUCGGGUAAGUUCCGACCUGCACGAAUGGCGUAAUGAUGGCCAGGCUGUCUCCACCCGAGACUCAGUGAAAUUGAACUCGCUGUGAAGAUGCAGUGUACCCGCGGCAAGACGGAAAGACCCCGUGAACCUUUACUAUAGCUUGACACUGAACAUUGAGCCUUGAUGUGUAGGAUAGGUGGGAGGCUUUGAAGUGUGGACGCCAGUCUGCAUGGAGCCG
This 2173-nucleotide ribosomal RNA is filed under the name Escherichia coli. Its description in RNAcentral is "partial 23S ribosomal RNA". It matches the Rfam family "Bacterial large subunit ribosomal RNA", at positions 1 to 2188 of the family's 2925-position model. The record is from RNAcentral. Lineage: Bacteria; Pseudomonadati; Pseudomonadota; Gammaproteobacteria; Enterobacterales; Enterobacteriaceae.